UGAGUGUCAAUGGCGUAAGAGAUGAAAGUUGAUAGAAUGUGACAUAUUUUGGUUUCGUGUUCUUUUUGGCUUAUACUAUGCUCAUGGGCUCCUGAUUUAAUUGCGAUUGGAGUGCUCUAGAGGGAACAAUUAUGAGUCUUAGAGUCAAAGAUGGUAUUCUCAGGAUCAUGGGUGAUUAUUGUUCACGUGUUAUGACUUUUCUCAGUUCUAUAGAAGUUGUUCUUGACAAUAUUAUAUAUCUGGUGUUUCUGGUUGCUAUGGAGAUUUCUUUUAUCGAAGAGUUUUACGAUGACUUUCUGCUUCUGUGAAUCAA
Molecule: long non-coding RNA, 313 nt
Filed under: Brassica napus (rape)
Lineage: Eukaryota; Viridiplantae; Streptophyta; Magnoliopsida; Brassicales; Brassicaceae
Description: long non-coding RNA (BNAP_LNC019529)
Source: RNAcentral